Molecule: long non-coding RNA, 1373 nt
Organism: Triticum urartu
Lineage: Eukaryota; Viridiplantae; Streptophyta; Magnoliopsida; Poales; Poaceae
Source: RefSeq, a predicted model, not a curated record
CCCCUCCCGUGCCUCCGAGCUUCCCCCGCCGGCCCGCGGCAGCGGCGACCUACAAGCAAAGGGCAAGGGCGAGGCGACGGCAGAGAGAGAGAAGAUGAGAGGGAGAAGAAGGAAGGAGAGGAGGGAGAAAGAGAGAGAGGAAAGAGGAGAAGGAGGCGCGGCGUCGGAUGGGAGAGGGUCACCGCCGGUCGAGGCCUGCGCGUGGCGGUUCGAUGUGAUCCUUGCCCCUUCUCUUCCUCGUCCCGCCGGCCUCAUUCUCUGUUACUCUCCCGUUGGCCGUGGCGCCAGGUCGCGGCGGAGGAUCUGGAGCUGAGCCCACGCAGUUGAGGUUGAGGAAGACGGAGGUGAGGGAAGCAGCAACAAGACUGCUGGAUGGUGACGGGUCAGCGGCCACGAGAGGAGGGGGAAGGGGGACGACGUCAUGCUUUCUCGCCACCUGCACGUCUUCGUCCCACAGUCCGCUGCUCCUUGUCUGCGCCGUUUCAACUCCAGCUGCAACAAUGCGUCUCCAUGAUCCUUCCCCUCCUCCGGCUUCUCUCCUUCCAUAGCUACUUAUGCUGCAAUAGUUUCAGUGCAAGUAUAGUCAGGACAGGGAGGCAGAAGAGAGGACAUGCUGAAGAAUGAAGGUGGACAAACCAGGUGCACAUGAACAGCAAGGCAUGUUUGGCGUCGUACUUGACCGUGCUACAGAACAACAUCUUGUGGUUCUACCCAAGGGUUGACGCCGAGCACCGGGGCGUACUGCAGGAGUAGCGCCCUGCGUCCUUUGUCAACGUCCAUAGCAUCAAGGACCUCCUCACGCCCCUGUGCAGAUGGCGCUCGCUCGUGAUCACAGGAAACCGAACGACGCAUGUGCCCGUUGUCUGUCAGCGCCGACAAGGUUGGUUCUAUGUUAAGGCCCUGCGUCCUCACGUAAGAGGGCAUGAUUCAUAAGCAAACAAAUACUACAUCAAAGUGCUGCAGGACCAAAUUGAGUGCCGAUGUUCUGUUUUCCUGCGGUUGUCGCCACUGUACUUUGUUCCUUGCAUGAACAAAAGAGGAUUAAUGAAACAACAUUCGCGCUGAAGAAGAAAAAGGAUAUGUUGCCCAUCAAUUCUAUCAUACUCAAGAAUCGCCAUUCAUUUUGUGAGGUUAAAGGGAUUGUCCGCUUCCUUCCUUGCAUGAUAACCACAUCAAUGGAUUGGUGUUGAACAUAACAAGAAAACCAUCUUUGGUAUGCUUUGAUGGGGCUUAUUUAAUAUAGUUCAAGGAAAAUUGGAAGUAGUGGCAAACCAGCCAUGAAAAGUUUGAGAGGGCUAUGCAACCACAAGAAAUGAUGUGCUCCUGUCAUUUUGCCAUGAUCUUGUGGCCCCAUUCCAAGACUAGAUUAAUGU